This 479-nucleotide ribosomal RNA is filed under the name uncultured bacterium. RNAcentral describes it as "bacterial SSU rRNA". It matches the Rfam family "Bacterial small subunit ribosomal RNA", at positions 1032 to 1510 of the family's 1533-position model. The record is from RNAcentral.
AUACAGGUGGUGCAUGGUUGUCGUCAGCUCGUGUCGUGAGAUGUUGGGUUAAGUCCCGCAACGAGCGCAACCCCUGUCGUUAGUUGCCAGCAGUGAGAUGGGGAGUCUAACGAGACUGCCAGUGACAAACUGGAGGAAGGUGGGGAUGACGUCAAAUCAUCAUGCCCCUUAUGACCUGGGCUACACACGUGCUACAAUGGUUGGUACAAAGAGAAGCGAAGCGGUGACGUGGAGCAAACCUCAUAAAGCCAAUCUCAGUUCGGAUUGUAGGCUGCAACUCGCCUACAUGAAGUUGGAAUCGCUAGUAAUCGCGAAUCAGAAUGUCGCGGUGAAUACGUUCCCGGGUCUUGUACACACCGCCCGUCACACCACGAGAGUUUACAACACCCGAAGUCAGUGGCCUAACCGCAAGGAGGGAGCUGCCUAAGGUGGGGUAGAUGAUUGGGGUGAAGUCGUGACAAGGUAACCGUAAGGGCGAA